UUUAAGUGCGGUUGUAGAUUUCUGUGUCUAACGUUUCAUUGUUCAUUUUAUUUGAAAUUCUUUUAUGAUUAAUAUUUUAUUAUUAUUAGAUGAUAAAACAUGAAUAGUAAUUUAUAGACGCGACUUAAUUUUUUUUUCAUAAACUUUUUAAAUAAGAUGGACGAUCAAAUGUUGGACAUAUAAACACACAAUUUCAUUUAAA
MicroRNA precursor from Oryza sativa Japonica Group (Japanese rice), 202 nucleotides. It matches the Rfam family "MIR812 microRNA precursor family". NCBI's taxonomy places the organism in Eukaryota, Viridiplantae, Streptophyta, Magnoliopsida, Poales, Poaceae. The record is from Rfam.